UGGAUAAAAACUUAGAAUUAAACAAAGAUUGUGUUCCCAAUCUAAAUACAUUAUAAACUCCAGCACAAAAUAAAACCCAGGUCUCCUUAGCAUUGAAGCUCAGUUCAUGUGGAUUUUGGGAAAAAAAAACCGUUGAAAACUUAACAAUCCAGAUUAGGGGAAACAAUUACUGGAAAAUUAACAACUAAACAAAUUAAAGAACUGAAAACCCACAAAAAAAAACGAAAAAAAAAAACCAACUGACCUUAAAACAAAUAACAAACAUACUGAACAGAAAGUGAAUCCCCAAAAUGAGAGAAAAUGAAACAAAUAAGGGAAUAAAGAG
This 325-nucleotide long non-coding RNA is filed under the name Malus domestica (apple). RNAcentral describes it as "long non-coding RNA (MDOM_LNC013457)". The record is from RNAcentral. Lineage: Eukaryota; Viridiplantae; Streptophyta; Magnoliopsida; Rosales; Rosaceae.